AGACCCCGGCACACACUCAAUGCACAUUAAUGAGUUUGCAACUCACCGUGAAUUUCACUACAGGGCC
Molecule: transfer RNA, 67 nt
Filed under: Phaethornis syrmatophorus
Lineage: Eukaryota; Metazoa; Chordata; Aves; Apodiformes; Trochilidae
Description: tRNA-Cys
Source: RNAcentral